GGGACGACAUAGUACUGGUGAUUCCUUUCUGUUCGCGACAUCUCCUCUCGCGCGGCUAGGGCACGCGACCUCCCACCGCCGGCCGUCUCUUCUUCCUCACCACCGACCGGCAGCUCUUUCUUCUCUUCACUGCCGCACAGACCCCUCUCAAGAAUCGGGAAGUGCGGUGGUGGAUUUCGCUGGCGAUGACGACGCCCAACAACCUUCCCAACGGCGGCCACCACCAGCGCCCACACCCUCCGCCCGACCCUAGGAGGCAGCGCCACUACCUUGGCACGCCCAUCGCCACCCCUUCCUCCUCCUCUUCCUCCGCCGCCUCCUUCAAGGGUUGCUGCUGCUACCUCGACGGCGCUCGAUGUGAUGUUUUAGCAAUCACUCCUUUCUUUUAUGUACAAGCGUGUAAAUUGCUAGUCACCUUCUUCACACGACUUGUUGCUUCUUGUUACUUCGCUGCUUGGUGGAUCUCUUGAUCGACUCGAUCCUCUGAAGUCUGAUCUGUUCUCUGAAUCUUGCUAUGAACUCAUCCGCCUUCUUGUCCACCUCAUUCGCUUCCCCUCCUCCCGCUUCAUGGUUUGACGUUUCUUCUGUGGCACCACCAGACGCCUCUGCAACGUCCUCCCCGCAAUUAUCGGCCUGCUCAUUCCUUGGACUUGUUAUGUCGUUGGUGGCAUCCCGACAUUCUCUCCUACUCGAGUUCUUCAAUUCCUCUUUGAGCCUUCUGGCCGUUGCGUGAUUUCCGUGCUCAUGUUUGAGGUAGUCGGGUGGAGGCGGCGGUGGCGGACUGGCCUUGCUUUUGUAGAUAAUCUUCGGCUUCGACGUGUCGGAUGAGAACGACGGCGAAGGAGAAAGAUGCCUUGGAAGGCAAAGUGGGGGACGCGGGAGUUGAGGGAAUGAUGCUACUGCCUUUUAUGCCGGCCACCUGUUCGACCUUAUUCCCCUUCGACCCUGAGCGUGAUAUCCACGGGAUUGGAGAGGGGAGUAUUGCGGACUCGUUCUCUGAAUCAAACAGGUGAUCUUCAAUUCCAUAGUUAGCUGAGGUAGACUGCUCAUCGUUCUCCUGGUUUCGUUGUUUUAUGCUUCGAACGGGCAACAGCAGAUGUGAUGUUUUAGCAAUCGCUCGAUGUGGUUCGGCACAAGGAUCUAAGCAAGCGCUUGCGGCCUCCUCCCUGCUGAUCACCGACGCUUCUGCUCACUAUGGUCGGCACACUGCCGCCUGGAUCUACUUCCGGGAUCUUCCUUGUUUUGUACAAGGAUAGCGCCUGCGGUCUCCUCCCCUCUCAGGUUGAGCAGAAGCCACAUCGAUCUACGGCCUCCUCUUGUCUUGGGCUGAUCAAAGGUCGAAGCAUCACCGUAGGCCUCCUCUCCAUUCGGGUUGAGCAGAAGCCCAGCAAGCAGCGUUUCUCCUGCGAACCGCUUCCAACCGUUGAUGAGCAGGUAGAGAUUAGGUGGUAUAAGGUUAUGUGAUGGCUAAGAGUAGGGACAGAACCGAAGAUUUUAGGGAAGCUACCCGUGUGACAGCUCUCUCUUUUGGCUACGACGAGGCCAAAUUGGCUGCGCUCUUGGCAUCCUUCAUUUUGCGCAAACCCUUGGAGAAACCUUCAUUUGAAAAAGCUGCAAUUAAGACGCUUGAAAGUAUUUUAGAAUUGGAACACUUCAUCACUAAGCAUCGGAAAGAUUAUGUGGAUCUACAUCGAAUCACUGAACAGGAGAGGGACAACAUUGAACAUGAAACAACAAAACAUAAUUGAGCGAAUACUGGAGGAUGUUCAAAAUGAGCAACACCAACAAUAUAGAGUGCAACAAGUGCUCCCCAAGAAGGCUCAACAAUCGAAAUUGCCUGCAAGAAAACCAAGGACUGUUCCCAACUAUGCCCACAUUUCAGCAAUCAAAAUCCAAGCAGCAUAUAGAGGUUACAGGGUACUUGAUCCAACCAUGAGGCCGAGUAUAAAAGAGCUUUAAAAGGCUUCAAAUCAAGUGUUUCUAAACAUGUAACCAUUAUCGGUUGGCUAUCAAAUGGCUGUUCUUGGUGUUUAAUGCCUAUAUUUCUCCUUAAACUUUGCAGUGUACUACUAUUAGCAUUUUGUAAAACAAGUAGUGUUGUAUUUAUACACUUCGUUUAGGAAUACUUUUAUAAUGUCAGAAUUCUAUUAUUUUGGUA
Molecule: RNA transcript, 2158 nt
Organism: Zingiber officinale
Lineage: Eukaryota; Viridiplantae; Streptophyta; Magnoliopsida; Zingiberales; Zingiberaceae
Gene name: syntaxin-81-like
Exons: 5
Source: RefSeq, a predicted model, not a curated record